Molecule: small RNA, 903 nt
Filed under: Pongo abelii (Sumatran orangutan)
Lineage: Eukaryota; Metazoa; Chordata; Mammalia; Primates; Hominidae
Description: retained intron
Source: RNAcentral
GCAGCGGUGGCCGCGGCUGCAGAGCGGGUGUGAGGGGGCUGGACCGCGCUGCAGGCCUCGGCAGGGCGCGGCAAGAUGGAGGUGACGGGGGUGUCGGCACCCACGGUGACCGUUUUCAUCAGCAGCUCCCUCAACACCUUCCGCUCCGAGAAGCGAUACAGCCGCAGCCUCACCAUCGCUGAGUUCAAGUGUAAACUGGAGUUGCUGGUGGGCAGCCCUGCUUCCUGCAUGGAACUGGAGCUGUAUGGAGUUGACGACAAAUUCUACAGCAAGCUGGAUCAGGAGGAUGCACUGCUGGGCUCCUACCCUGUAGAUGAUGGCUGCCGCAUCCACGUGAGGACUCUCUACCUGGGACACUCCCCGCCCCACCUUUCAUUUGGUUAUUCAACAGACACUUGCUGGGCUUUGCCCUCAGUCAUACCCAAGAUAGGUCCUGCCUUCGUGGAGCCUCCAGUGCAGCCUGACGAGAGACAGACCCAUCAUUAGACAGGGACAGCCUAGAGUGGUCUGGGCUGGGAUCAGGAAAUCCCAGGGGACUGGGGCCACCAAGAAGAGGUGCCUGACUCCACCUGGGAGAAUCAGAGAGGGCUUCCUGGAGGAAGGGAUGUCUGAGCUGAGGGAUGACGAAAGGAUGACUUAAGAGAAAGAGGUAGAAAGGAGGGAGCAGGGUGUACGGAGGCCUAGAAUGUGAGGUAGGUCACGGUGAGCAACCAGGCUGGACAGCUUGGGAGAAGCCAGAACACGGAGGAUUUCUUUGUGCAUCCGCUCAGCACAUCCUUUCUGUCUUUUUUUGAGACAGAGUCUCACUCUGUCACCCAAUCUGGAGUGGAGUGCAGUGGCACUAUCUGGGCUCACUGCAACCUUCACCUCCUGGGUUCAAGUGAUCCUUGUGCCCCAGCCUCC